Mycena alexandri is the source of this 96-nucleotide non-coding RNA. Lineage: Eukaryota; Fungi; Basidiomycota; Agaricomycetes; Agaricales; Mycenaceae. The record is from the annotation of a GenBank genome assembly.
GCGUCGAUGGUGCACGGCGCACGCAACCACAAUCUAAACGGUUUGACGUGAGGUUUGAGAUUGGUUGAACCGGGGGUUCGACUCCCCCUCGACGCA